CCGUCGAUAGCUCAGUUGGUAGAGCGGGAGACUGUAGAGGUUAAUCCAUUGUCAUCUCUAGGUCGCUGGUUCGAAUCCGGCUCGACGGA
Molecule: non-coding RNA, 89 nt
Organism: Strongylocentrotus purpuratus (purple sea urchin)
Lineage: Eukaryota; Metazoa; Echinodermata; Echinoidea; Camarodonta; Strongylocentrotidae
Source: Rfam